UACGUAGGGUGCAAGCGUUAAUCGGAAUUACUGGGCGUAAAGCGUGCGCAGGCGGUGAUGUAAGACAGGUGUGAAAUCCCCGGGCUCAACUUGGGAACUGCAUUUGUGACUGCAUCGCUGGAGUGCGGCAGAGGGGGAUGGAAUUCCGCGUGUAGCAGUGAAAUGCGUAGAUAUCAGGAGGAACACCGAUGGCAAAGGCAGGUCUCUGGGCUGACACUGACGCUCAUGCACGAAAGCGUGGGGAGCAAACAGG
RNAcentral lists this ribosomal RNA (253 nucleotides) under uncultured bacterium. Its description in RNAcentral is "partial 16S ribosomal RNA". It matches the Rfam family "Bacterial small subunit ribosomal RNA", at positions 524 to 776 of the family's 1533-position model. The record is from RNAcentral.